UUUUUUUUUAGUCCGAAUGCCUUUUGAUUAUGUGUACCGGCUACAACACGAGUGAAGAUGUUUUUGAAUUUUUUAGUAAAAUACAUAAGAAGUCCAUUAAGUUGUAAGCAUAUGUCACUUAGAUUCAUGAAUUUCGAAAGUGCAUUUUUGGACUCAUAAACUUGCUAAGUCAUUCACUGCAAGUCCAUACCCCACCACAUGGGCAUUUAGCCUUGACAUGGCACGGUGACUGGGCAUCUUCUCUCUCAUCCCUCUCAUCUUCCUCUCUCUCCCUCCCUCUCGCUCUAGCAUUUCAUCGAACAUGUCACGGUGGUGGCGGUACGGAGCUCUUCAUCUGCUUCACCUCCCGCUUCUCCGUCGCCGGCGCUUCGUCCUCCCUCCAACACCAUCAUCUCCUCAGCUGGCACAAUAACGGCUCCCUUGCUAACCUCACCACGGCAGCACCGCACAACCAGUUGCCCCAGCCAAUGGCAGCACCACACAGCCAGUUGCCACAGCCGACGCACGCUGGCACCUCUUUUUUAUAGAUCUAAAAAUGCACUUUUCGAAGUUCGUUGAUCUAAGUAAGAUAUCCUUAUAAGUUGAUGGACCUUCUAUCUAGAAGAGUAAAUGUGAUGAUUGCUAUCUGGUAAUGAUGCUUUUGUUCUCUAGAGCUUUGGAAUUACUCACGGGCGCUGCUAGCACUGCCUCUCUGCAAAGGCGCUUUGGAUGAGGCCUAGGAUAGGCUCGAGUUGAUUCGAUCGAUUUCUUCUCACGUCGAAAGGAAAAAUAGAUUUCUCCUGCACCCCACUUGUGUGUAUAUAUGGUCAAGGAGUCCUACCUUGUUUGGGGUUCGUCAGCAGAAAUCCUAACAGCAAAAGCAUCAUCUAGUUGACCAGGAGCCCAAGAUCUUGGUCCAAGCUGAAUCAACGAAGGCAUGGAUCGAUAUAGCUCCAGAACAGAAACCGAAACGACGGCGACAAGUGGUGUUCAGGGAAGAGGGGAGCAGGGACAGGUUGCUUUCGCGCAGAGCAACGCUGGCCGGUGCGGGACGAGUACGGGUGCAGAUGGAAUCUAUUAAAGACCCCCGAUGGGAGCACAACCACCAUCACCCAUGGCGAUCGAUGACGACGAUGCCGAUCUAUCCGACACCGAAUCCAACCCGCCACUUGAAUGCGCGUCCCAUCCCCGCGUUCAGUGCUCUCCCUCUUCCUCCUCUCGACCACGCACAGCAGCUACGGAGCCUGCUCCUCCAUGGCUCCUGUUUCACCUCGCAUUUGCCGCUCGGUCGGCUCCCGUUGAGUUAAAACCUAAUUAACCUAGCCGGUCGAUCCAUUCAAAGCUACGGGCAGUACACGUACGAGUGCUAGCUCGACGCAGUAAUGCAAUGGUAGUUGGCCGGGGAUCGAUCUCCAUAGCGCCGUAGACAUCAGGAACACACAGCAGAGGAAGAACAGGGCCUGAAUGCCUGACGAGAAACAGCACCGUACACAUACACGGGUUCCAUGGAUCGAUGUGGUAGUAUAGUACUUUUCAAGUUUUAUAACAGCAGGGAAUUAAUUAAAAACAACACGCGUGGAUUAUUGAGAACGAAAUUGAACAGAUGGUGGUGGUCGGAGUAUCGAGCUCUCUCUCGUGUCUCGUGCCUCGAUUCCUCCUCGUGUUCUUGAUGGGCGGAAACAGAUGUAUCUUCUCCUCAUCCUCUUCCUCAGACGUGGUGGUAGCUGUGUGUGUGAAACUGCGAAUGGUGGACGGACGGUAGCAGUAAAUGGCCAUGGUGGGCGGCCGCCACGGCGGACGGACGGAUAGGGUUCAGUUCUUGGCGGCCACCGCCUCGGCGUGCUUGUGCGGCACCUCCGUGCUCAUCUCCUUGAGCUUCUCCUCCACCUUGUCAACGGCGGCGGCG
Molecule: long non-coding RNA, 1885 nt
Filed under: Setaria viridis
Lineage: Eukaryota; Viridiplantae; Streptophyta; Magnoliopsida; Poales; Poaceae
Description: long non-coding RNA (SVIR_LNC003604)
Source: RNAcentral